Molecule: ribosomal RNA, 166 nt
Filed under: uncultured Ruminococcus sp.
Lineage: Bacteria; Bacillati; Bacillota; Clostridia; Eubacteriales; Oscillospiraceae
Description: partial 16S ribosomal RNA
Rfam family: Bacterial small subunit ribosomal RNA
Source: RNAcentral
CCUACGGGAGGCAGCAGUGGGGAAUAUUGCACAAUGGGGGAAACCCUGAUGCAGCGACGCCGCGUGAGCGAUGAAGUAUUUCGGUAUGUAAAGCUCUAUCAGCAGGGAAGAAAAUGACGGUACCUGACUAAGAAGCCCCGGCUAACGCUCCAGCAGCCGCGGUAAU